Molecule: ribosomal RNA, 484 nt
Filed under: uncultured bacterium
Lineage: Bacteria
Description: partial 16S ribosomal RNA
Rfam family: Bacterial small subunit ribosomal RNA
Source: RNAcentral
AUUGAACGCUGGCGGCAGGCCUAACACAUGCAAGUCGAGCGGAUGAAGGGAGCUUGCUCCUGGAUUCAGCGGCGGACGGGUGAGUAAUGCCUAGGAACCUGCCUGGUUGUGGGGGAUAACGUCCGGAAACGGGCGCUAAUACCGCAUACGUCCUGAGGGCGUAAGUGGGGGAUCUUCGGACCUUACGCUAUCAGAUGAGCCUAGGUCGGAUUAGCUAGUUGGUGGGGUAAAGGCCUACCAAGGCGACGAUCCGUAACUGGUCUGAGAGGAUGAUCAGUCACACUGGAACUGAGACACGGUCCAGACUCCUACGGGAGGCAGCAGUGGGGAAUAUUGGACAAUGGGCGAAAGCCUGAUCCAGCCAUGCCGCGUGUGUGAAGAAGGUCUUCGGAUUGUAAAGCACUUUUGGUUGGGAAGAAGGGCAGUAAGUUAAUACCUUGCUGUUUUGACGUUACCAACAGAAUAAGCACCGGCUAACUUCGUG